UACGAAGGGGGCUAGCGUUGUUCGGAUUUACUGGGCGUAAAGCGCACGUAGGCGGAUCGUUAAGUGAGGGGUGAAAUCCCAGGGCUCAACCCUGGAACUGCCCUUCAUACUGGCGAUCUAGAGUCCGGAAGAGGUGAGUGGAACUCCUAGUGUAGAGGUGGAAUUCGUAGAUAUUAGGAAGAACACCAGUGGCGAAGGCGGCUCACUGGUCCGGUACUGACGCUGAGGUGCGAAAGCGUGGGGAGCAAACAGG
Molecule: ribosomal RNA, 253 nt
Filed under: uncultured bacterium
Lineage: Bacteria
Description: partial 16S ribosomal RNA
Rfam family: Bacterial small subunit ribosomal RNA
Source: RNAcentral